RNAcentral lists this ribosomal RNA (465 nucleotides) under uncultured bacterium. Its description in RNAcentral is "partial 16S ribosomal RNA". It matches the Rfam family "Bacterial small subunit ribosomal RNA", at positions 338 to 795 of the family's 1533-position model. The record is from RNAcentral.
CCUACGGGUGGCAGCAGUGGGGAAUAUUGCGCAAUGGGCGAAAGCCUGACGCAGCGACGCAGCGUGCGGGAUGAAGGUCUUCGGAUCGUAAACCUCUGUCAGCAGGGAAGAACGGUCACUGUGCUAAUCAGCAGUGAAUUGACGGUACCUGCUAAGGAAGCACUGGCUAACUCAGUGCCAGCAGCCGCGGUAAUACGGAGGGUGCGAGCGUUAAUCGGAAUUACUGGGCGUAAAGCGCUCGUAGGCGGUUUGUCAAGUCAAGGGUGAAAUCCCCGCGCUCAACGUGGGGACCGCCUUUGAUACUAGCAAACUAGAGUUUGUUAGAGGAGAGUGGAAUUCCAGGUGAAGGAGUGAAAUGCGUAGAUAUAUGGAGGAACAUCAGAGGCGAAGGCGACUAUCUGGCACAAUACUGACGCUGAGGAGCGAAAGCGUGGGUAGCAAACAGGAUUAGAUACCCGUGUAGUC